RNAcentral lists this ribosomal RNA (301 nucleotides) under uncultured bacterium. RNAcentral describes it as "partial 16S ribosomal RNA". It matches the Rfam family "Bacterial small subunit ribosomal RNA", at positions 509 to 807 of the family's 1533-position model. The record is from RNAcentral.
CAGUAGCCGCGGGAAAACAGAGGGUGCGAGCGUUAAUCGGAUUUACUGGGCGUAAAGGGCGCGUAGGCGGCCUGUUAAGUCGGAUGUGAAAGCCCGGGGCUCAACCCCGGAACUGCAUCCGAGACUGGCAGGCUUGAGACCGGGAGAGGAGGGUGGAAUAUCCAGUGUAGAGGUGAAAUUCGUAGAUAUUGGAUGGAACACCGGUGGCGAAAGCGGCUCUCUGGCCCGGAUCUGACGCUGAGGCGCGAAAGCGUGGGGAGCAAACAGGAUUAGAUACCCCUGUAGUCCCUGUCUCUUAUAC